This 496-nucleotide ribosomal RNA is filed under the name uncultured bacterium. RNAcentral's name for it is "partial 16S ribosomal RNA". It matches the Rfam family "Bacterial small subunit ribosomal RNA", at positions 28 to 506 of the family's 1533-position model. The record is from RNAcentral.
GAUGAACGCUGGCGGCGUGCCUAAUACAUGCCAGUCGAGCGAACGGACGAGGAGCUUGCUUUUUUGAUGUUAGCGGCGGACGGGUGAGUAACAUGUGGAUAACCUACCUAUAAGACUGGGAUAACUACGGAAAACCGGCGCUAAUACCGGAUAAUAUUUUGAACCGCAGGGUUCAUAAGUGAAAGACGGUCGUGCUGUCACUUAUCGAUGGAUACGCGCUGCAUUAGCUAGUUGGUAAGGUAACGGCUUACCAAGGCAACGAUGCAUAGCCGACCUGUUAGGGGGAUCGGCCACUCUGGAACUGACACGCGGUCCUGGCUCCUACGGGAGGCAGCAGUAGGGAAGCUACCGCAAUGGGCGAAAGCCUGACGGAGCAACGCAACGUGAAUGAUGGAGGUCUGCGGAUCGUAAAACGCUGUUAUGAUUGAAGAACAUAUGUGUAAGUAACGGUGCGCAUCUGGACGGAACCUAAUCAGAAAGCCAGGGCUAACUACGG